UGCAAUUGUUUUUUAUGUAGCUUGUUUUGGACUAUAAAUUGGCUUUGAUAAUGCUCAAUUUUUUUAAGAAGUUUGUGUGGAUUAGGUCAAUAUUUAGUUCAGUGCCUCAUUGCCGUAUGGCGCAAGCACAAUAAUAUAUUUCCAGAAGCACAGCAAUAUAUUUUCAGGAUAUAUACCUUUCUCCUCCAUCUAGUGGGAAUCACAACUUCUAGUGGUUAAUAAUUACAGCUUACAGUUCAUUUUUGUAUGUCAGCUAGAUUCCUCAACCAUUUAGCAAUUUACUAUUACUAGAAUUUAUUCAGGAGAUUUGGUCCCAUCUUGUCAGUGAAGAUGUGUACAUAAAUCAAAUAUUUAGUUUGAGGUUCACACCAUAUGAAUAAUGCACUAAUUAUAUAUACAGAAAAAAUAGCUUGUAUUUAACAGUUAUGGCCCUGUUUGGCAAGCCUGCUACUUAGGGUUUGAUUGUAUGUGUAUGAACUCUGUCACACACUUCCUACAAGCACAAACAACCACACCCGAGAACACAAGCGGAAAUACAAAUACAUAUGCAGUAUGAAUAAGCACGAGGCAAACCAAUCAGGAGACGCAAGGAUUUGUUUGACUAGAGAACGGGCCACCACAACUCCACAAGGCGCCCUACGUCUCCAUUGUGGAAGUCAGUGAGGGACCCAUCAAGUGGGAAGACUAGCCUUUCUUACAAGACCAACGCAAACAGCCUACACACCCUCGGGUCCUGCUGGUGACAUUUUCCCACCUAAGAACAAAGUUCCAAGAGAAAGAUAGCAACGAACCAAAGAUCUUCGACUUGCUCAAGUUCUCGAGGAUGGGAUAACUCUCAAAGCUUCCCAAGCUCUGUAUUGCCACAAAGGCAAGCUCACGAAGUUUGGGACACCCCCUAAUCAAGGUUUAAGCUUUCUCUAUUCAAACACUCACAAAGAGAGGGAGAGGAAUGCCCAAGGACUAUUCUGGUCGUUGAUAAGAGUGGGGAGGAUCAACAACAUGAAAUGGUGAGUGGAAGAGGUAUUUAUAGCCAUCACGCCAAAACUAGUUGUUUGAGUUUGAGUUGACAAAUCCGACCUAGCCGGGUAUUCAAACCGACUAGCCGUUGGCCCAGAAGUUGGUCUGGUCGGGUUUGUGGUUGGGGCUAAAAUUUUGAGUGGAGUUUUACUUACUCUCUCUUACUCUUGGGUUUAUCUGAAGCACCAUUUUGCAUGCCUCGAUCUUGGUGAAACAUCCCUCUUGAUAGUGUGGCAAUACUCAACUCACAAAAAAUAAAAGGAUCUGAACCACCAUUUGAGUUUUUCUUCAAUUCAAUCUUGGUUGCCAUUUUUACUAUUGUUAUUUUGAGGGUCUUCAUUACUUCAACUUCUUGAGCUUGUCCAUCUUGAGCAUGUGAGUUGUGUCGAAGGUUUCAAGUCACUUUGAAUAUUCGAUUGAUCUUCUACAUUGACAACCAUCACUUGAUUAGUGCCUCAACUCAAUGCAAGUAAAUUUUUUAUUCACUUUUAGCUAGGUCCAUCGGCUGUCAGGCCAUCGCUUGCCCUUCACCUUUCACAGAAGUCAGGAGCUUGCUUUUGUUUCGCUCCGAUGAUGCCAAAUGGGCAAUUUUACCUAUACUGUGCUUCUUAGAAAAGAUUGCUUGUAGAGAAAACCAGCUUCUGUGAAAAGCACCUACAAGUUAAGCUCUUCCAAACAUGGCCUAUAUAUUUUUCCUCCAUCUGGUGGAAAAUUUAUAGUGAGUAAUUACAGUUCAUUUUCAUAUGUGAUCUAGACUCAACCAUUUACUAAUUUACUGUUACUAGAAUUUAUUCAGGAGCUCUGACCCUAUCUUGUCAGUGAAGAUGUGAACACAUAUAGGGAAGGGAUACAUUAAAGGAAAAAUCUUGAGAAUGUUAUCAUUUACUCCCUUUGUUUCACUAUGUUUGUCCAUGGCCUUGGGAUAAUACGUCCUGCAAUGUUUGUCAAUUGAGGAUAUCAAGAGUUUAAGUUGGUGCAACAUUUUCAAUCUAUUAUCACUAAUUAAAUGCUUUCAAAGAAGAGAAAUAAUUGUGUCAUGUUUUGUGUUACUAGAUUUUUUUUUCCUUGUAAUUACUACUGUCUUAGGUAGUGUGCAUGAUGUCCUAUGGACAAGCAUAGUGAAAUUGAAGGAAUAUGAACGCUAAGCCAUCAAUAGUUGCAAGAUUCACACUCUUAUAUAUUCAAUUGGCAGGAGGCAAGGAUAAAAG
Long non-coding RNA from Zea mays, 2225 nucleotides. RefSeq lists it as uncharacterized. NCBI's taxonomy places the organism in Eukaryota, Viridiplantae, Streptophyta, Magnoliopsida, Poales, Poaceae. The transcript has 2 exons. The record is from RefSeq and is a predicted model, not a curated record.